GCAGUGCAAGGGUAUAAAAACCUGCUGGCAACACCAAAGUCGGCCAUUUCACAAUAUAAUUUUCUUUCAACAAGAUGCGAAGUGCGCAGAUACGGGAAUUAUAAAAGUGAUUUAUUUUGAUAUUUAAAAAGAAAAAACCCAAAUAAACACUCGAAAUAAGUCGAGUAAGUGUGACAAGUGAAGAAGAAACUAAACAAACUAACCCCUUUGAAAAAAAAGAAAAAAAUAGUCAAAUAGUGCGAUUUCACCAGCGAUUCUAGGAUAGAAUUGCACUCAGGAGAACGUAGUUAUUAACGUUACAUAUAACUACUGCUUCAGUUUCAGCCUUGGAGAGAUAUAUAGAUUCCGAGGAAACGUCGUAUCAUAUCUGGCGUGCCGCCGCAGCUACUACAUUUAGUACAAGGAAAAGGUGAAAGCAAUCAACCACCAUUGCAACCGUAGCACCGCAGCAACACCAAAAGAAUCAGUUGGACCAUUGACUAAGCAAUUGGGAGUCCCAGCAGCAACCCACAUCCCGUUGACAGCAACCGCAGGGCGGCAAAAACAGCGCAACAGUCCCGGAACUGUUAACACUGGAAUAGGCAGUCUGCGGACCGUCCCGUACGGUAUCCACGACGCGCCACAACAGCACUACUGUAACCAUACGGCGUAACCUCAAGCGCCACUUCGGGAGAAGAGCGCCACAGUACCAGUGUGUGCGUACCAGCGGUGCGCUUUAAUGCCCAUCGGGCGCCCUAACACCAUCUAGCGCCACCUCGUCAGCGAGGCGCCUCAACGUCAUCAAGUGCCACCACGUUAGCGGUGCGCCUCAGGAUCGUCAGGCGUCUCAACGUACCCUGGCAAUUAGCAAGACGACCUCAAUAACAACACCAAAGCUGCCCAAACCAGCAACCACACCGUAACAACACAAAGCAGCAACCACACCGUAACAACAACAAGCAGCAACCACACCGUAACAACAACAAGCAGCAACCACACCGUAACAACAACAGCAGGCCCCACCAAGAACUGCUGCAACAAGGGGUGAGUCCUUCGGGCCUAUAUAUAUAUAUAUAUAUACACUUACAUUUAUAUAUGCAGGCUAGAUAAGAAAGAAAAAAAAAAUAUUAAAUGGACUUAGAA
Molecule: long non-coding RNA, 1122 nt
Organism: Rhagoletis zephyria (snowberry fruit fly)
Lineage: Eukaryota; Metazoa; Arthropoda; Insecta; Diptera; Tephritidae
Source: RefSeq, a predicted model, not a curated record